Carassius carassius (crucian carp) is the source of this 2743-nucleotide long non-coding RNA. RefSeq lists it as uncharacterized. The transcript has 3 exons. NCBI's taxonomy places the organism in Eukaryota, Metazoa, Chordata, Actinopteri, Cypriniformes, Cyprinidae. The record is from RefSeq and is a predicted model, not a curated record.
UUUUUCCCUUCCUUGCUACAUGAGAAAAGAAGAACAAAAGCUGCGGCUAUGUGUUCCAGGCCGACUGCACUCUCAGUCUAAUUUCUCUUUCUUCUCCCUGUCCAUUGAAAAGGGAAAAGGUUUUUGUGGUUUUCUGGAGAAAUAAAGAACUUCUUAGAGAGGUCGGCCGACGUGACUUUGAACUUGGAUCAGAUCCUGUGUUUCCUGUGGAGAGGGUAGAAAUAGUCUUAGAAGAAUGGUACAUAACGUUCAAACAGCAUGGCUUUGAGCUGAGGCACACAGAAUUCCCAAAGUUUUAUACAUCCUCCGCCCUAUUAUUUACAGCUUAAAGCGUUCGGAGGAGAGGAAAGACAAGACAAAGUGUGUUGUGCGUUGGAACAAGACUUCAUGGGACUAUAGGUUCAAUUAAAUUGCAGCAGAAGGUGUCACCUUCAUCGGACCUGACACACAUGCUACUCAAACCAUGGGAGACAAGAUCAGGGGCAAAUUAAUCGCCAAGAUGCCAAGGUCAGUGUUGUGCCCCUAUACGCGUGGGCUGGUCAAGGUGAGCAGCAGACACGCGUCUAUUCUUUCAGCCACCUCAAAUGACUCAUCUCACGUCUGUCAUACCGUCACGAGGGCAUCAACACUGAUGUGUGUGUUUAUAAAGACUCGGUGUUGUCAGUGAGCUGUCAGCUCUGGGAAUAACAAAUCAGGUAUUUUUUUAUGUGUUGCCACUGUGGCAAAAUCUUACCUCGGAAUGCGAUCCAGGAACUUGUUGUUUGUGGAUGGAAAUGUGUGCGUGUAGUAGGAAGGGCCGUUGCUAAUGAGGGAUGUUUUGAAAACAUUUAGAGCCCUAAUGAUGCUGCUGCAAGAGCAAAGCCUUUUCCGGGGGCUGUGAUUUAAGAUGGUUCGAGGCUGUGGAAAAAUUGUUUCACCCAAUUUAAUUCUUGCAUUCCUGUUGUUAAAAUAUUGGGGUUAGAGGCUAACACAAAGAUGAGGAGGUGAACAACCGUGCCGUAUGCAUGUGUUUUUAAAGUAAAGAGUAUUAAAGCUCCUUCAAUAGCAGCCCGAGCGAUUUCUCACUUCUCCAUUUUGUCUCGAGAGCACUUAAUUGUCUGCAUUUGGCAAGUUUAACACUUCCUGACUUGAGUGGCCUCACUUGAAUGUCUUUGCAUAGCUUUUGGGGACAAAAGAAAGGCCUAGAUGCAGAAAACACACACACACACACACACACACACACACACACACAAGCAUGCAAAUAUAUAAAAAAAUCCAUAGUGACCGAAUUAAACAUGCCAAGAGAAAAUUUCCCACCGAGAAAUUUUGAGAUUUUAGCUGCGCCUAGUUCUGUCCGCCAGCCAAUUUUCCAUCAGGAAUCUCUCAUUAGCAGAUGUUUUUGGCCACAACACACACACACCUCAGUGUGAUCUGGUGAACCCUAAAUUUAACAAGCGCUUAGCAGAGCAGACGAGUUAAUGAAAGGAAAUGACCUUUUCUGCCAAUUUCCCCCUUCCAUUCAGGUGCUUUUUUAUGUUGCGAUUUAAAAUGACAGAUAUUUUUAUUUUGUUCUAAAUAAACUGAUACAUCUUUCCUACGUUUCAUUAUUUCUGGGAAGCGCACGAGUCCGGUAUUAACUGCAGUCAGAUGGUAACAUUUACAUCUUGCUUGACCUGCUUUCCAAGACUUAUUGCCCACUUUAACGUUUUAAAGAGGUGUCUGAUACUGAAAUUUUUUUUUCAUUUCACUUUCAUGUACAUCCUUUUUUAACAAUACAGCUUUUGAGUUGCUAAUAUCAUUAGUAAGUGUCCUUGAUUGAUUACUGUUCACAGUCCUGGUGUCUAUUCUCAACUUAAACUGCAAUCUGUUUGCUUACUCAUUUUAGUAGACGACGAUACAGGAUGAAGUUUAUUUACACCGCUGUCAGCUGUUCCCUUCAUAGCAACAAAGCCGAUGAUUUCCACAUAAGAGCAGUGAGGAGACUCGGGUAGACGGCCCCUCCAGAGCCCGCUGAAGUGAAGCCGUAGUUGGGUAUGUUGGCUGGUCUCGCCCGGCAGCCCCACAGCAGGUUUGAAGCCUCUUCUAUCUCUGCUUCCAAUCAAUAGAAGAGCUGCUCCCCCUGCUGCCUGUCCCACGCUACAACUUCCUCUUCCCUCACCUCUUCCAAUGGCACACAUCACACCUCACAUUUUCUCUACUUUAUCCCUAUUUCUCUCUCUCUCUCCGCAGUGAAGCAGUGACGAUGGUACCUGUUUGGCAGUGGCUGACAUGAGCAGAGGUCUGUCAAGGAGGGCUGUUAGGCUAGUGGCGAGAUGGAAACCCAUCUGGGAGGCCUUUGGAUGCAGCUUGUGAUGUGAAGGUUUUUGGGAGCCCUUCGUCUCUCUUGGCAGCAGUUGAUUGUGACGGCACGUUUUUGCACACAUCCAAGAACCUUCUGUCCUAUCUACUGAUACCUCGAUCUGGUCUCCCUCAGCCAUCUUGUUCCUCAUAAAUUUUUCACCAUGCUGUGAUCAAAGCUCACCACUGUAUUUGUGUUCUGUUGUAAUGGCCAAGGAUGUAACAUGAAAUUGUAAAUUACGAUCCAUCCUAUAUCAGGCCAAGUGUUGACAUGGUUUUUUCUGUGUGGGUUUUUAACGUGAUUGAUUUAUGUUGUUUAGAUGGGCAGGAAGGUGCAGGAAUGUUUGGUGCUGUAGGCGCGUCAGUGGGUGACCCGCUUUUAUGUGCCGUGCACUUGUCUCAAUAGUGCAGCCAGGCCAUGCUCGUC